This 226-nucleotide ribosomal RNA is filed under the name Leptospira wolffii. RNAcentral describes it as "partial 16S ribosomal RNA". It matches the Rfam family "Bacterial small subunit ribosomal RNA", at positions 118 to 344 of the family's 1533-position model. Lineage: Bacteria; Pseudomonadati; Spirochaetota; Leptospiria; Leptospirales; Leptospiraceae. The record is from RNAcentral.
GGGGUAAUCUUCCUCCGAAUCUGGGAUAACUUUCCGAACGGAAAGCUAAUACCGGAUAGUUCUAUUGGAUCACAGGAUUUGAUAAAUGAGGGUUUACUGUUCGGAGAUGAGCCCGCGGCCGAUUAUCUAGUUGGUGAGGUAAUGGCUCACCAAGGCGACGAUCGGGAGCCGGCCUGAAAGGGUGUCCGGCCACCAUGGAACUGAGACUCGGACCAUACUCCUACGG